GACGAACGCUGGCGGCGCGCCUAACACAUGCAAGUCGAACGAGAGAGAGGAAGCUUGCUUCCUCAAUCGAGUGGCGAACGGGUGAGUAACGCGUGAGGAACCUGCCUCAAAGAGGGGGACAACAGUUGGAAACGACUGCUAAUACCGCAUAAGCCCACGGGUCGGCAUCGACCAGAGGGAAAAGGAGCAAUCCGCUUUGAGAUGGCCUCGCGUCCGAUUAGCUAGUUGGUGAGGUAAUGGCCCACCAAGGCGACGAUCGGUAGCCGGACUGAGAGGUUGAACGGCCACAUUGGGACUGAGACACGGCCCAGACUCCUACGGGAGGCAGCAGUGGGGAAUAUUGCACAAUGGGGGAAACCCUGAUGCAGCGACGCCGCGUGGAGGAAGAAGGUCUUCGGAUUGUAAACUCCUGUUGUUGAGGAAGAUAAUGACGGUACUCAACAAGGAAGUGACGGCUAACUACGUGCCAGCAGCCGCGGUAAAACGUAGGUCACAAGCGUUGUCCGGAAUUACUGGGUGUAAAGGGAGCGCAGGCGGGAAGACAAGUUGGAAGUGAAAUCUAUGGGCUCAACCCAUAAACUGCUUUCAAAACUGUUUUUCUUGAGUAAUGCAGAGGUAGGCGGAAUUCCCGGUGUAGCGGUGGAAUGCGUAGAUAUCGGGAGGAACACCAGUGGCGAAGGCGGCCUACUGGGCACCAACUGACGCUGAGGCUCGAAAGUGUGGGUAGCAAACAAGGAUUAGAUACCCUGGUAGUCCACACCGUAAACGAUGAUAAAGGGGUGUGGAGGAAUGGCCCCCUCAGUGCCGCAGUUAACACAAUAAGUAAUCCACCUGGGGAGUACGACCGCAAGGUUGAAACUCAAAGGAAUUGACGGGGGCCCGCACAAGCAGUGGAGUAUGUGGUUUAAUUCGACGCAACGCGAAGAACCUUACCAAGUCUUGACAUCCUGCGACGCACAUAGAAAUAUGUGUUUCCUUCGGGACGCAGAGACAGGUGGUGCAUGGUUGUCGUCAGCUCGUGUCGUGAGAUGUUGGGUUAAGUCCCGCAACGAGCGCAACCCUUACUGUCAGUUACUACGCAAGAGGACUCUGGCAGGACUGCCGUUGACAAAACGGAGGAAGGUGGGGAUGACGUCAAAUCAUCAUGCCCUUUAUGACUUGGGCUACACACGUACUACAAUGGCGUAAACAAAGGGAAGCAAAGCUGUGAAGCCGAGCAAAUCUCAAAAAUAACGUCUCAGUUCGGACUGUAGUCUGCAACCCGACUACACGAAGCUGGAAUCGCUAGUAAUCGCAGAUCAGAAUGCUGCGGUGAAUACGAUCCCGGGUCUUGUACA
RNAcentral lists this ribosomal RNA (1337 nucleotides) under uncultured bacterium. RNAcentral's name for it is "bacterial SSU rRNA". It matches the Rfam family "Bacterial small subunit ribosomal RNA", at positions 28 to 1387 of the family's 1533-position model. The record is from RNAcentral.